UGAGGUGGACUCUCUUUUAACAUGUUGGCAAGCCCAAAACGACACAGUGUUGGUUUGGUGCCUAAUUUGGGCCAAACGACGUCGUUUUCAUGGGUAGAAGCAUAACUCAAUGUUUCCUCUUCCUUCCAAAACAGAUACAAACGUCUUCCUUCAAAACCUAUCUUUAAUGGCGCUGCUCUGAGUGAGGCUGCUACAGUGUCUUCCUUCAAAACUCGACUGGUCUCCACAGUUGGCUUUUUCGUCGUCAUUUAUGAGAGUGUUUUCAAAAAAGAAUUUCUUUAACAGAGAUACACAAAAGGGAUCUGUCUAGCCAUAGAAGAUGCUCUGUUUGUGGGUUUUAAUGAAUGAAGGCGUCUUUGAUGUCAUCACCCAGGCUUUGCAAAGUCAAGAUAAGAAGUUGGUGUUAAUUGGAACAGAUAUCUUGAUUCUCUUUUUGAAUCAAGUUCUUAAUAUUUUGCGAUCCUAUGUUUUGUAUGUGAAUGAGGUCACAUUUUUCUUAUGACAUGAAUGUAUAAAAUUACUCAUAAGGCAUUUAUUAGACAUAUUAUCCUAUACCGGUUAAAGGAAUGAUAACAAAUUUUAGGGACAACAUGUAUUGCCAGUUUCUUGAGAUCCUUCACAGUCUAUUGGAUUCAUGUACAUUAUCUAGACCAUAGGUACCACCUGGUAAUGAUAUUUUCUUUAAUUUCAAUUGUUUAGCCGUAUUUGAUUGCUAUGGAUAUGAUAAUAAUUGUUAUAUAUGACAUAUUUAUUUUCAAGGUUUUCUUUGGUACCCUUGUUUAUACAGGGUAUUAUUACCUUUUCAAUAAUCAAUAUUUAAGGAUUAUGAAUGUUUUUGGAUAAAUUUUUUGGAUUUUUUUUAAUUUACUUAUAAAUUAAUAGUGAGGUGAACUUUUUUAUUUGAUUAUAAGUUUUAUAGAUAUGAAAAUAUAGUAAUCUGAGUUAAUACAUGAUUGAUUUUUAGCCUUCAGCCACAAAUAACUAAAGUGUAUUGGUACAAGAAAAUUAUUUAUAUUUGUAGUAGGUUGAGGUUUUAAUUUUGUCUUGAGUGUAUCAGAAAUCUUGUGUUGGAUUAACAAUUUAUUUAUUUAUUCAUUAUUCUAACAUGACAUGACUAUUCUUGAUUUUUAAGUUUAAAAUGGAGGGGUUGAGAGAGAAGCUCCAUACAAUUUUUAUAGUAUGGGUGUAUUUAGUUUUAGAUUGUAAUUCUCUCUGCUAAAGUAAAAUUUUGAUCUUCUUAGUUGGUAAUGUAGUUUGUCCAGGGUUGUUGUUGCUAUCAUAUACCAAAAAAAUCACUGUCUAGAACUGAUGUAGUUGAAUUUAUUCUUGUUAGUUCGGAUUCUAAAUUGUGUAUCUUCUAAUUAUUGGAGAUGUCAGUUAGUAGUUUUAUUUUGCAUUUGAAGUCUACUUGUUAAAAAGAUAAGUUUGGACGUUGAGUAGAAUUUAUUAAACAUCCUCUGAAUUGUUGGAAAAAACUUCUCUUUCAUAUAAGAUGGAAGUCCUUUUCUAGGUUAAUAAUAACAUAUGUAUUACUGAACUUGUUUUAUUGAUUGUUUCAGUUUUAUCUAGCAAAAGGACACAGUUAUUAAUAUUUUUUUUAGAAGCAUUUAGGUCAACUGGUUGAAGUUGUUGCAUCCAGAAUGGCAACAGUGACAGCAUCAAUAUUGAGGACGAGAAACGAGACUACACAAUGAUGCGGAGAGGUUAGCGAGCAGUGCGGCGACGAGAUGGAGGCCGGCGAGAGACAACAAUAGAAAAGGUUGAGGCUUUGAGCUCGCGCCGGCCAUAACUAUAUAACUUUGAAGAUGGAUAGGAGAACAUAUGUGAGGUUAGAGAAGAGAAGCAAAAGGGAUGUAAAUAGGGUCUUUAAUUUUGGGGAUUAGGGUUUUUUAAAAUUGAUUCAUGGACUAAAUUACUCAUAAAAUAUUUUCUCGUCCACGUCAUCUAUCCCUUACUUUACCAACGUGUUAAAAGGGAGUCCACCUCAACUUUCUGGUGGAGCCUAGUUAACGACAAAUACUGAUGACUCUGAGUCCCGGAGUACAACUCCAGAAAUACAUAUGAAUAACUAUUAAUUUCAGGGACUACUAUAAAACUCGAGUGUAACUUGAGGAACUA
Long non-coding RNA from Arachis ipaensis, 2118 nucleotides. RefSeq lists it as uncharacterized. NCBI's taxonomy places the organism in Eukaryota, Viridiplantae, Streptophyta, Magnoliopsida, Fabales, Fabaceae. The record is from RefSeq and is a predicted model, not a curated record.